RNAcentral lists this unclassified non-coding RNA (1117 nucleotides) under Hevea brasiliensis (rubber tree). The record is from RNAcentral. Lineage: Eukaryota; Viridiplantae; Streptophyta; Magnoliopsida; Malpighiales; Euphorbiaceae.
UUGCUCUAAUAAUACAGAAUCAUCUCAUGAACAAGAAAAUCUCUACCCUCACGACCAGUAAUCAACAUGCAUCAGGUGUUAAGCUAAAUGGCAGAAUCAGAAUCUGAACCAGACUUUAAUUGAUUAAUAAUCUUAAAAUAUCCAAAUAAUAUAAGCUUGUUCUACAGCUUCGCCUUAUACUUGCAGUCCAGUUCUCCAAUCGUGGAAUUGGAAAGAAAGACACUGACGUCGCAGGUUGUAGUGGUGUCCGCGCUCACUUUAAAUAUAUUAAAAAUCAAAACUUUACCAGAAAUCUUGAUCACUGCGUUCAUAAUCAAGACCCCCGACGAAACAUCUGUAUAGAGCUGGGGAUUGUUGAGCAAGCGAUCCGCCAUCACCGUGACGGUUACAUUCAUGGGCUUGGUAUCGUCGGAGCUAAUCUUGCCGGCGGCAAUUGGAACUUCCCCAAAAAGUUCGUUUUUGUAAUACAUCAAAGCAGAACCGUUUUUGUACUUGAAGCCCACCUUGUUUGGGUUGGUGAUGGUGAGAUCCACGUCCAAGGUCAUAUUCAGAUUGACGCCCAUCCUGGAAGGGUCUAAGGAGAAACGCAGGCCAUCUAAAGUGAUUGAGUCGAUGUUGGUGGAAGGAUCUUUGGCUUUGAACACUGUAAAAGCUAAGAUCACCACCACUAGAACGAAAACGACGAUGACGGCCGCUGUUACCCCAAGACAAAUGUUUCUACGCCUGUGUUUGCUCUUGGGUUUAGGUAGAGUUUGAGCUUCUGUAUCUCUCGUCUCUUUUGCUACCUUUGAUGGAUUUAAAGCGGUUUCCUCCGCCUUCUGCAUCUUUUCUACUCAGGCCUUUUGGUGCGACUCUGGUAUCUGUAUCCUUCUACAGAACAAAGUUUGAACUCGAGUUUGAUGAUGGGGUGGGGUUGUGACUUGCUGAAUUCUAGGCUAUAAAUAUAUGAUGUCCUAUGACCAAGUGGGCUUAAAUUUUUUAUACUGUUGCAGGCAGGUGUCAUAAGUUGAAUCUAGAAAGGGUGUUAAUCAAGUCUGAUUCAAUUUCCUCAGGACUUGGGAAGUCUUAAAUAGACUAUAACAUAGUUGUGUUUAAAAUGGGUUUUUGCUCUUGGUCC